Molecule: ribosomal RNA, 2903 nt
Filed under: Escherichia coli
Lineage: Bacteria; Pseudomonadati; Pseudomonadota; Gammaproteobacteria; Enterobacterales; Enterobacteriaceae
Description: bacterial LSU rRNA
Rfam family: Bacterial large subunit ribosomal RNA
Source: RNAcentral
UUAAGCGACUAAGCGUACACGGUGGAUGCCCUGGCAGUCAGAGGCGAUGAAGGACGUGCUAAUCUGCGAUAAGCGUCGGUAAGGUGAUAUGAACCGUUAUAACCGGCGAUUUCCGAAUGGGGAAACCCAGUGUGAUUCGUCACACUAUCAUUAACUGAAUCCAUAGGUUAAUGAGGCGAACCGGGGGAACUGAAACAUCUAAGUACCCCGAGGAAAAGAAAUCAACCGAGAUUCCCCCAGUAGCGGCGAGCGAACGGGGAGCAGCCCAGAGCCUGAAUCAGUGUGUGUGUUAGUGGAAGCGUCUGGAAAGGCGCGCGAUACAGGGUGACAGCCCCGUACACAAAAAUGCACAUGCUGUGAGCUCGAUGAGUAGGGCGGGACACGUGGUAUCCUGUCUGAAUAUGGGGGGACCAUCCUCCAAGGCUAAAUACUCCUGACUGACCGAUAGUGAACCAGUACCGUGAGGGAAAGGCGAAAAGAACCCCGGCGAGGGGAGUGAAAAAGAACCUGAAACCGUGUACGUACAAGCAGUGGGAGCCUCUUUAUGGGGUGACUGCGUACCUUUUGUAUAAUGGGUCAGCGACUUAUAUUCUGUAGCAAGGUUAACCGAAUAGGGGAGCCGAAGGGAAACCGAGUCUUAACUGGGCGUUAAGUUGCAGGGUAUAGACCCGAAACCCGGUGAUCUAGCCAUGGGCAGGUUGAAGGUUGGGUAACACUAACUGGAGGACCGAACCGACUAAUGUUGAAAAAUUAGCGGAUGACUUGUGGCUGGGGGUGAAAGGCCAAUCAAACCGGGAGAUAGCUGGUUCUCCCCGAAAGCUAUUUAGGUAGCGCCUCGUGAAUUCAUCUCCGGGGGUAGAGCACUGUUUCGGCAAGGGGGUCAUCCCGACUUACCAACCCGAUGCAAACUGCGAAUACCGGAGAAUGUUAUCACGGGAGACACACGGCGGGUGCUAACGUCCGUCGUGAAGAGGGAAACAACCCAGACCGCCAGCUAAGGUCCCAAAGUCAUGGUUAAGUGGGAAACGAUGUGGGAAGGCCCAGACAGCCAGGAUGUUGGCUUAGAAGCAGCCAUCAUUUAAAGAAAGCGUAAUAGCUCACUGGUCGAGUCGGCCUGCGCGGAAGAUGUAACGGGGCUAAACCAUGCACCGAAGCUGCGGCAGCGACGCUUAUGCGUUGUUGGGUAGGGGAGCGUUCUGUAAGCCUGUGAAGGUGUGCUGUGAGGCAUGCUGGAGGUAUCAGAAGUGCGAAUGCUGACAUAAGUAACGAUAAAGCGGGUGAAAAGCCCGCUCGCCGGAAGACCAAGGGUUCCUGUCCAACGUUAAUCGGGGCAGGGUGAGUCGACCCCUAAGGCGAGGCCGAAAGGCGUAGUCGAUGGGAAACAGGUUAAUAUUCCUGUACUUGGUGUUACUGCGAAGGGGGGACGGAGAAGGCUAUGUUGGCCGGGCGACGGUUGUCCCGGUUUAAGCGUGUAGGCUGGUUUUCCAGGCAAAUCCGGAAAAUCAAGGCUGAGGCGUGAUGACGAGGCACUACGGUGCUGAAGCAACAAAUGCCCUGCUUCCAGGAAAAGCCUCUAAGCAUCAGGUAACAUCAAAUCGUACCCCAAACCGACACAGGUGGUCAGGUAGAGAAUACCAAGGCGCUUGAGAGAACUCGGGUGAAGGAACUAGGCAAAAUGGUGCCGUAACUUCGGGAGAAGGCACGCUGAUAUGUAGGUGAGGUCCCUCGCGGAUGGAGCUGAAAUCAGUCGAAGAUACCAGCUGGCUGCAACUGUUUAUUAAAAACACAGCACUGUGCAAACACGAAAGUGGACGUAUACGGUGUGACGCCUGCCCGGUGCCGGAAGGUUAAUUGAUGGGGUUAGCGGUAACGCGAAGCUCUUGAUCGAAGCCCCGGUAAACGGCGGCCGUAACUAUAACGGUCCUAAGGUAGCGAAAUUCCUUGUCGGGUAAGUUCCGACCUGCACGAAUGGCGUAAUGAUGGCCAGGCUGUCUCCACCCGAGACUCAGUGAAAUUGAACUCGCUGUGAAGAUGCAGUGUACCCGCGGCAAGACGGAAAGACCCCGUGAACCUUUACUAUAGCUUGACACUGAACAUUGAGCCUUGAUGUGUAGGAUAGGUGGGAGGCUUUGAAGUGUGGACGCCAGUCUGCAUGGAGCCGACCUUGAAAUACCACCCUUUAAUGUUUGAUGUUCUAACGUUGACCCGUAAUCCGGGUUGCGGACAGUGUCUGGUGGGUAGUUUGACUGGGGCGGUCUCCUCCUAAAGAGUAACGGAGGAGCACGAAGGUUGGCUAAUCCUGGUCGGACAUCAGGAGGUUAGUGCAAUGGCAUAAGCCAGCUUGACUGCGAGCGUGACGGCGCGAGCAGGUGCGAAAGCAGGUCAUAGUGAUCCGGUGGUUCUGAAUGGAAGGGCCAUCGCUCAACGGAUAAAAGGUACUCCGGGGAUAACAGGCUGAUACCGCCCAAGAGUUCAUAUCGACGGCGGUGUUUGGCACCUCGAUGUCGGCUCAUCACAUCCUGGGGCUGAAGUAGGUCCCAAGGGUAUGGCUGUUCGCCAUUUAAAGUGGUACGCGAGCUGGGUUUAGAACGUCGUGAGACAGUUCGGUCCCUAUCUGCCGUGGGCGCUGGAGAACUGAGGGGGGCUGCUCCUAGUACGAGAGGACCGGAGUGGACGCAUCACUGGUGUUCGGGUUGUCAUGCCAAUGGCACUGCCCGGUAGCUAAAUGCGGAAGAGAUAAGUGCUGAAAGCAUCUAAGCACGAAACUUGCCCCGAGAUGAGUUCUCCCUGACUCCUUGAGAGUCCUGAAGGAACGUUGAAGACGACGACGUUGAUAGGCCGGGUGUGUAAGCGCAGCGAUGCGUUGAGCUAACCGGUACUAAUGAACCGUGAGGCUUAACCUU